GCCGCGAUCGCGUAACCUGGUAUCGCAGUGGAUUGCUAAUCCACGCCCGUAAGGGCUUCUGGGUUCAAAUCCCAGUCGCGGCG
This 83-nucleotide transfer RNA is filed under the name Candidatus Woesearchaeota archaeon. Its description in RNAcentral is "tRNA-Ser". It matches the Rfam family "tRNA". From Rfam's summary of the family: Transfer RNA (tRNA) molecules are approximately 80 nucleotides in length. The record is from RNAcentral. Lineage: Archaea; Nanobdellati; Candidatus Woesearchaeota.